RNAcentral lists this ribosomal RNA (200 nucleotides) under uncultured bacterium. RNAcentral describes it as "partial 16S ribosomal RNA". It matches the Rfam family "Bacterial small subunit ribosomal RNA", at positions 524 to 723 of the family's 1533-position model. The record is from RNAcentral.
UACGGAGGGUGCGAGCGUUGUUCGGAAUUACUGGGCGUAAAGAGUGUGUAGGCGGCUCCUUAAGUCGGGUGUGAAAGCCCUGGGCUCAACCCAGGAAAUGCGCUCGAUACUGAGAGGCUAGAGUAUGGGAGAGGGGCGCGGAAUUCCUGGUGUAGAGGUGAAAUUCGUAGAGAUCAGGAGGAACACCCGCGGCGAAGGCG